Molecule: non-coding RNA, 93 nt
Organism: Cordyceps militaris CM01
Lineage: Eukaryota; Fungi; Ascomycota; Sordariomycetes; Hypocreales; Cordycipitaceae
Source: Rfam
GGCGUGUUGACCGAGUGGCCCAAGGUGUGCGACUAGAACAGAUUGGGAAAUCGCAUGGGUUCGCCCGCGUAGGUUCGAAUCCUGCACACGUCG